RNAcentral lists this small RNA (232 nucleotides) under Salmo salar (Atlantic salmon). RNAcentral's name for it is "Metazoan signal recognition particle RNA". It matches the Rfam family "Metazoan signal recognition particle RNA", at positions 1 to 232 of the family's 299-position model. Rfam says of the family: The signal recognition particle (SRP) is a universally conserved ribonucleoprotein. It is involved in the co-translational targeting of proteins to membranes. The record is from Rfam by way of RNAcentral. Lineage: Eukaryota; Metazoa; Chordata; Actinopteri; Salmoniformes; Salmonidae.
GCUGUGUGCGGUGGCGCGUGCCUGUAAUCCAAGUCACUGGGAGGCUGAGGUUGGUGGAUCGAGUGAGCUGAGGAGCUCUGAGCUGCAGCAUGCUAUGUCGAACGGGUGUCCGUGCUAAGUUCGGUAUUGAUAUGGUGUUCUUGGGGGAGCCUGAGACCACCAGGUUGUCUAAGGAGGGGUGUACCGGCCCAGGUCGGAAACGAAGCAGGUCAAAUCCCCCGUACUGUCCAGU